RNAcentral lists this ribosomal RNA (497 nucleotides) under uncultured bacterium. RNAcentral describes it as "partial 16S ribosomal RNA". It matches the Rfam family "Bacterial small subunit ribosomal RNA", at positions 28 to 507 of the family's 1533-position model. The record is from RNAcentral.
GAUGAACGCUGGCGGCGUGCCUAAUACAUGCAAGUCGAGCGAACAGACGAGGAGCUUGCUCCUCUGACGUUAGCGGCGGACGGGUGAGUAACACGUGGAUAACCUACCUAUAAGACUGGGAUAACUUCGGGAAACCGGAGCUAAUACCGGAUAAUAUAUUGAACCGCAUGGUUCAAUAGUGAAAGACGGUUUUGCUGUCACUUAUAGAUGGAUCCGCGCCGCAUUAGCUAGUUGGUAAGGUAACGGCUUACCAAGGCGACGAUGCGUAGCCGACCUGAGAGGGUGAUCGGCCACACUGGAACUGAGACACGGUCCAGACUCCUACGGGAGGCAGCAGUAGGGAAUCUUCCGCAAUGGGCGAAAGCCUGACGGAGCAACGCCGCGUGAGUGAUGAAGGUCUUCGGAUCGUAAAACUCUGUUAUUAGGGAAGAACAAAUGUGAAAGUAACUAUGCACGUCUUGACGGUACCUAAUCAGAAAGCCACGGCUAACUACGUG